AUACGAAGGGGGCUAGCGUUGUUCGGAUUUACUGGGCGUAAAGCGCACGUAGGCGGAUUGAUUAGUUAGGGGUGAAAUCCCGAGGCUCAACCUCGGAACUGCCUCUAAAACUGUCAAUCUCGAGACCGGAAGAGGUGAGUGGAACUCCUAGUGUAGAGGUGGAAUUCGUAGAUAUUAGGAAGAACACCAGUGGCGAAGGCGGCUCACUGGUCCGGUACUGACGCUGAGGUGCGAAAGCGUGGGGAGCGAACAGGAUUAGAUACCCCAGUAGUCC
This 274-nucleotide ribosomal RNA is filed under the name uncultured bacterium. RNAcentral's name for it is "partial 16S ribosomal RNA". It matches the Rfam family "Bacterial small subunit ribosomal RNA", at positions 523 to 796 of the family's 1533-position model. The record is from RNAcentral.